UGAAUCUUCAAAAUAUUGAGGACUCAAACAUUGAUUUGAGUGCAGUGAAUAUUUUAUUUGAAUAGGAAGAUCUGAUGC
Small nucleolar RNA from Lathyrus oleraceus (garden pea), 78 nucleotides. RefSeq annotates it as small nucleolar RNA snoR64a. The record is from RefSeq and is a predicted model, not a curated record. Lineage: Eukaryota; Viridiplantae; Streptophyta; Magnoliopsida; Fabales; Fabaceae. The transcript has a single exon.